Molecule: long non-coding RNA, 4312 nt
Organism: Passer domesticus (house sparrow)
Lineage: Eukaryota; Metazoa; Chordata; Aves; Passeriformes; Passeridae
Exons: 7
Source: RefSeq, a predicted model, not a curated record
UGUCCUACAAGAUGCCUUUAUCUGUUCCCAGCAUGCCAUAUUUUGGUCUGGAUUUAUCUUCACUUAUUUUCAAGGACUUUCUAUGACUAUAGGGACAGCCUAAGGCAACCAAGUUCACCAUGUAGGGAGCCAGCUGAGAGUGUGCAUCUGAACUCUUUCCUUAGUCUACUUUCUUUCCUCCUGGUCAGGGAUGUGUUUGAAAUGAGACAAAGGUGGGAAAAGAGCUGGCAGGGUUGCAAGAAGAGACAUUUUCUCUCACUAGCUGAAUGGCUUUUACACCUGCUUCACAUUCAAGGGCAAGAGUAAAUAUGAGUGGAAUUGAAAGUCAUCCCUCAGCAGGUCCCUGUAUUUCCUGUAUCUCAUGUCUAUUUUUAACAAGACGCAAAACAGUUGAUGUAAGAUCAAGCAGAAAUAGUCAGUGUUACCCCAGAUAAUCAAAUAAAACCAGGAGAAGGUCUAGUAUUCAUUAGACAUUUUGUUAUCUUCCAACUGUAUGAAGUGCUUUCUUUGGGGAAUAACUUCAGAGGCUGGAUUUUCAUGGUUCGCUAACUGUAAUAAAUAAAUCUGAAUAAAUCCAAACUUCAGUGCCAAGGACUGAAUCAAACCCUCUUAUUUUUAUAGUGAAAAUAUCCUGGCAUUAAAAGGCUUAGCAUGUUGGGCUGUUCUGUUUAACAAUGAGAUGAAAAAAUGGUGCAGAUGACUGUAGUGGCAACUGAAAAAUACUAGAACUCUUUAGGUUUUCUUAAGGAGGUGGUUUGAAGUUGCAUGGUCAGACUUUUUCUUCUCAUGACUAAUCCACUCUCCUGUGACCUAUCUUUAGUUUGAUAUUGAAUCAGGAACAAGAACUGGAGCUUCAGCUGACCCCAAACAUUUAGUUACAUUAAUCACAGGGCAUUUUUGGACUCUGAGCAUACUGAAUGAAAGACACUUUCUUUGCAAGACAUUGAUCAAACAGUCUAUAGGUAUCACUACAUCGAGGCACAUUAAUCAUCUGGUGCAUUAUCAGUUCCACCAGGAGAAUAUGUAAAUGUGAUUCCUGUCAAUGAUAAGGGAAAGCAGAAUUUAUUUUUAAAAGUGGUCCUUCUGGAACUGUUGAUAUAAUCUUACCUAAGACAAUAGGUUGUAAAGAUACAUUUCAGCAGAACUGCCAAUGAACAUAAAGAACAAGCAAAUUAAAGCUACAAAAAAAAAAAAAGAAAAAGAAAAAGAUAGUGGCUAUACUUCACUCACUUGCAGAAAUUGCUGUUCCACAACAUUGUGGAGACUUUUUCUGCUUAAUAAAACAGGGCAGUUUUCUGAAAACUCUUAUAAUUGUUUUGUAACCACAAAAAGCUUUAUUUAAGAGUGAUGCUAUUCUCUUCUAUGCUCCAGUGCUCUUGCCCUAGAAUACACCUGUGAUACACUUGCCUCGUGGCUGAGGAUGUGAUGCUCAUACUGACUGUGAAACUCUGAGGCAAUGCCUCACCUUCACAGAUGGCUCACCUUCACUCAUAUUAAUGGGGCUGCCUGGCUGAGGCUUGCAAUGUGCAUCUUGCUGAAAGCAUUUUUGCAUAGAUCUUCUUAUAUAAUUGAUCAAUUUAUUCUAUUUUUACUUUUUUCUUUCUUCCUUACUUUUAAACCUAUGCCAAAUUAGUACCUGCAAAUAUUCAUUCUGUCAGUGUUGGGGGUGUGAGGACACAUUUCAGGCAAAAGUAUUUUUUGAAGUCAUAUCUGAGAGAAUUAGAGACCUAGGGCAGGGAAAUUAGUAGAGAUUAAAUAUAUAAAAUGGUCAUAUAAUUUCUUCUUCUUGUCUCCUUAGUGUUCUUUUCUACUUUCCUGCAUCUUUGGACCACAAAAGUGGAACAAGGAGUCCUUUGGGAAGGCAGGAGGACUUGUCUGUAAAGGAGUUCUAAUGAUGAGCAGACUCGUUUACUGCAACAGCACUGCUUCUAUUCUUACCGAUAUUAGAGAAAGGCAUGCAAGGAUUGCCUUCUUUUCAAUACAUCUAAAUAAGAGGUGUCCAGCUGGUUUGUGGCAAUGGAAUAGUAAUGACAGCAGGAUGGUAAUUUCAUCUUGAGCUUUACAAGCAAGAGGAGGUGCCAAGAAGGAAACCAGGUCUGAGGGUUCUCUGGAAUGAUCUCAGGCCAUUGUACAGCAACAGCUCUGAGUGGCCACAUAGGUCUGCAUUUGAACCCCUGACCCAGGAACAAAAUAAAUUACGUGAAGACUGAAGUAUGGAUAUGGGACAAUUCCAGUUUCUCACGUUUCAAAGGAAUAAAUGGUGACUGUAGACAGUGGCUGCUCUUCUCUUCCCAUCUCACCUAUGGAUUUUCCUGAGCAGCCGUCUUUCAGAUGCACGGCACAUUCUGGAAAUCAGCUCAAGUGUGACAUUUUGGGGAGAACCUUUAUCAUUGACUUCAGGCAGAAAAAUCACACCCUGGUAGAGGACAACAGUGCUAGCAGGUCUGUUCCCACCAAAAGGCUGAUGGCACUUGCAUGGUGCAGAAACAUUUUGAAUUUUCUCUCCACUUCUUGAGAGAAUUAUUAGAUUGGCUAGUUUGGUAAAUUCAGGCAGACUGCUUGGUCUUUCAGUGCACAAAAGUUGUACAAAGGACCAUUUAUAUAUAUAUAUAUAUGUAUGUAUAGAAUGGAUAUGCACUGGUACAGGGUGCCCAGAGAAGCGGUGGCUGUCCCAUCCCUGGAAGUGUCCAAGGUCAGGUUGGAUGGGGCUUUGAGCAACCUGGAAUAGUGGGAGCUGUCCAUGGCAGGGGUUUGGGACCAAGUGAUCUUUAAGGUCCCUUCCAAGCCAGGCCAUUCAGUGAUUGUGUGGCUCUAGGGCUGGACAUGGUGUGCUGAUGGUGUUGGCAGCACGUCCUGGUAUGGGUGAGCACCCGGGAGCUGCUGCCCCCAGGGCCAGCAGCUCACCCUCUCACCCUCUGUGUGACUCCAGCCACGUGCUCUGCCUCCAGCUCAGCACUGAGCUCUACAGGCCCCUCUCUGAGGAGAUGAGAAGAGAAAAAUCAGUGUCAAGACUGCUACUCAUCCUGCAGAGCUUCUGCUGGGGUUGCAGGGAAGGGCUGAAAUCAGCUGGCUGGAGGGACACCAUCCCAUGCCUAUCAAUCAGAUGGUGAAGGAAAACUACAUGGGCUUUGCACUCACCCAAAUGUCUUUCAGUUAAAAAGACCAAAUGUGAUAUGACUGCUCCUCAAGCCCCUUUGAUAUUUAAGGAGUGAUAAAUUAAGUUUUGUUUCAGCUGAGAUCUAGCAUGCCUCCAUAUGUCAGUUUGCUUCAGAAGUAGGCAGCAUUUCUAUGUUUUUGAGUUAGAAAUCUCUGUUUAUAAUAAAACAAACAUACAGCUCCAGGAGUAUAAUAUCCUUUGAGUGGAGUGGUUUCAAAGAGUUUUACAACCCAUCUGGAAGACUGACUCCAACUUUUAGGCCUGUUCUUUGAGAAAAUGCCUUAUUUACACAGCUAGUAGUAUGAUUCUGGCAUUGCAAGCCAGAGGAAUGAAAUUUGGAAAGCCAGGCCUGCUGCACCAUAAAACAGAGACACGGAGUUCACUGAGAAAGUGAAAAGGAACAGUCGUUAAAAAACCCCCAAGUUUCAUUUUCUUUGUGUAAAAGUUCUGUCUGCUGGGAAUGAGCCUGCCUCUCCCAGCACCAGCUCGCCUCUUGGAAGAGCAUAAGUCAUCUGUACUACAGAGCAAUUAAUUCUAAUUUCUUAUGCAUGUCUCUCUUUGUUGCUGUUGCCAUUAACACAUAUUAAGAUUAUAAAUUACAUAUAUAAUGAUUUCCAUUAAUAUCCUAAUUUCUAGGUGUAUAAUUAAAACUUUGUACAAGUAUUUUUCAGGAAGAGUCAAUGAAAUGAGAGGUUUUAUGUCAAAAGUGUUUCAAAAAAGUAGCUUAGCAAAGUUGAUCAUAUAAGUAUGCCAUUGGAAUGGUGGAAGAGCUGUGUCCAGGAACAGGUUUUUUAAAAAAAGGACAACCUCUUCUCCAAAAACACACAAUUUACCCCAUGGAAGAGUCCAUCAUCAUCACAGUGUCAAACAGAAUGUGACACAAGGGUGCCCGGACCAAAACUUCAGCUCAGAAAAAGUACUUUUUUUUCUAAAGAAAGUUUGGAAGAGUGAAAAUUCACACAUGGAAAACAAAUGAGCAUCGGGAAACACUCCUCAUAGCUAAUGGCUACUUGAUUCUGCCAUUUAUGGGUGCUUGGGUUGAGGAGCAAUGGCACAGGAGGGCUGCAGGGGCAAUGAGCCUAUUUAACAUACAACACAUGACCCCCUGAGCUGGAGUGCACGUGCAAACCCGGCAGAGUCCAGCCAGCUCAUUCC